Molecule: ribosomal RNA, 253 nt
Filed under: uncultured bacterium
Lineage: Bacteria
Description: partial 16S ribosomal RNA
Rfam family: Bacterial small subunit ribosomal RNA
Source: RNAcentral
UACGUAGGGGGCGAGCGUUGUCCGGAAUUACUGGGCGUAAAGGGCUCGUAGGCGGCCAACUAAGUCAGACGUGAAAUCCCUCGGCUUAACCGGGGAACUGCGUCUGAUACUGGAUGGCUUGAGUUUGGGAGAGGGAUGCGGAAUUCCAGGUGUAGCGGUGAAAUGCGUAGAUAUCUGGAGGAACACCGGUGGCGAAGGCGGCAUCCUGGACCAAUACUGACGCUGAUGAGCGAAAGCCAGGGGAGCAAACGGG